Molecule: long non-coding RNA, 527 nt
Organism: Dermacentor andersoni
Lineage: Eukaryota; Metazoa; Arthropoda; Arachnida; Ixodida; Ixodidae
Source: RefSeq, a predicted model, not a curated record
UGUGGCCUUUUACAGCGAAAUUAGGACACAAGUGGUUUUGCGGUUCUUCAUUCUUGUGCGGCUCUGUGAACCUGCCUGCAAUGCUCAGGGCAAAUAUGCGAAGUGCAUUUAUUAUUUUUGGCAUGGUACUUCUCACUAAAAUUGUGGCUGGCUCGAAAUUAGGACACAAGUGCUUGUUCAGUUCUUCAUUCUGGUGCGGCUCUGUGAACCUGCCUGCAAUGCUCAUGGCAAAUAUGAGAUCUGCAUUUAUUAUUUUUGCCAUGGUACUUCUGAAUAAAAAUGUUGCUGGCUCACGCAAAGAACCCCAGCUUGACCAAGACGGCUGUGUGCUGUGCGAUUGCCGCGGCGGGUAUUUCCGCGGCUGCGACCUGAACAAAGACACUGACUGCGUGUGCCUUACGGGAAAGACUCGGCGAGGAUACGAUGGACCAUGCAUAUCGCAUUCCGAAUGUUAUCCCUGAGUUUUAGCGAGCAUUACAUAUUAUACUUUUCGGAAUAAAUAAAAACAAAUUAAAUACCAAGACAAA